Apis dorsata (giant honeybee) is the source of this 307-nucleotide long non-coding RNA. RefSeq lists it as uncharacterized. The record is from RefSeq and is a predicted model, not a curated record. NCBI's taxonomy places the organism in Eukaryota, Metazoa, Arthropoda, Insecta, Hymenoptera, Apidae. The transcript is spliced from 3 exons.
AUUCGUUUAAUGUAUCGGAAUCCCCAUCGGUUAAGAAAGUUUACAAACGAUAACUAUACACAAGUUCGAGUUUGUUUAUACGAAGCCACGUUAUCCCCACCACGGGCAGAUUGCCAGUUAUUCCGAAAAUAGCGAAGCGGACAGACGUUUAAUCGAUCAUAAGCAGAAGGAACUCGUAACGUGACGAAAUGAAAAGUGUUUGUCGAAUAUUUCAAUUAUCUCAAUUGUUAAACUCGAUAUUGCUAAUCUAAUUUUAGACCCAAAUCAAACCAAAUUAUACAAAUCGAUAUUGAUUUAAUAAGAGAGA